GACGAACGCUGGCGGCGUGCUUAACACAUGCAAGUCGAACGGAAAGGCCCUGCUUUUGUGGGGUGCUCGAGUGGCGAACGGGUGAGUAACACGUGAGUAACCUGCCCUUGACUUUGGGAUAACUUCAGGAAACUGGGGCUAAUACCGGAUAGGAGCUCCUGCUGCAUGGUGGGGGUUGGAAAGUUUCGGCGGUUGGGGAUGGACUCGCGGCUUAUCAGCUUGUUGGUGGGGUAGUGGCUUACCAAGGCUUUGACGGGUAGCCGGCCUGAGAGGGUGACCGGCCACAUUGGGACUGAGAUACGGCCCAGACUCCUACGGGAGGCAGCAGUGGGGGAUAUUGCACAAUGGGCGGAAGCCUGAUGCAGCAACGCCGCGUGCGGGAUGACGGCCUUCGGGUCGUAAACCGCUUUCGCCUGUGACGAAGCGUGAGUGACGGUAAUGGGUAAAGAAGCACCGGCUAACUACGUG
This 468-nucleotide ribosomal RNA is filed under the name uncultured bacterium. RNAcentral describes it as "partial 16S ribosomal RNA". It matches the Rfam family "Bacterial small subunit ribosomal RNA", at positions 28 to 507 of the family's 1533-position model. The record is from RNAcentral.